RNAcentral lists this ribosomal RNA (253 nucleotides) under uncultured bacterium. RNAcentral describes it as "partial 16S ribosomal RNA". It matches the Rfam family "Bacterial small subunit ribosomal RNA", at positions 524 to 776 of the family's 1533-position model. The record is from RNAcentral.
UACGGGGGGGGUAAGCGUUGUUCGGAAUUACUGGGCGUAAAGGGCUCGUAGGCGGCCAACUAAGUCAGACGUGAAAUCCCUCAGCUUAACUGGGGAACUGCGUCUGAUACUGGAUGGCUUGGAUUCGGGAGAGGAAUGCGGAAUUCCAGGUGUAGCGGUGAAAUGCGUAGAGAUGUGGAGGAACACCGAUGGCGAAGGCAGCCUCCUGGGCCAACACUGACGCUCAUGCACGAAAGCGUGGGGAGCAAACAGG